CCUACGGGAGGCAGCAGUGGGGAAUAUUGCACAAUGGGGGAAACCCUGAUGCAGCGACGCCGCGUGAGUGAAGAAGUAAUUCGUUACGUAAAGCUCUAUCAGCAGGGAAGAAAUACUGACCUUACGGUCAGCAGACGGUACCUGAGUAAGAAGCCCCGGCUAACUACGUGCCAGCAGCCGCGGAAAUACGUAGGGGGCAAGCGUUAUCCGGAUUUACUGGGUGGAAAGGGAGUGUAGACGGGGCGACAAGUCUGGCGUGAAAUGCCGGAGCUUAACUGCGGGACUGCUUUGGAAACUGGCGAACGAGAGUGCGGGAGGGGUAAGCGGAAUUCCGAGUGUAGCGGUGAAAUGCGUAGAUAUUAGGAGGAACACCAGUGGCGAAGGCGGCUUACUGGACCGUAACUGACGUUGAGGCUCGAAAGCGUGGGGAGCAAACAGGAUUAGAUACCCCAGUAGUC
RNAcentral lists this ribosomal RNA (458 nucleotides) under uncultured bacterium. RNAcentral describes it as "partial 16S ribosomal RNA". It matches the Rfam family "Bacterial small subunit ribosomal RNA", at positions 338 to 795 of the family's 1533-position model. The record is from RNAcentral.